GAUGAAGAACGUAGCGAAAUGCGAUAAGUAGUGUGAAUUGCAGAAUUCAGUGAAUCAUCGAAUCUUUGAACGCACAUUGCGCCCCUUGGUAUCCCGAGGGGCAUGCCUGUUCGAGCGUCAUUUCACCACUCAAGCCUGGCUUGGUGUUGGGCGACGUCCCCUUUGGGGACGCGCCUCGAAACGCUCGGCGGCGUGGCACCGGCUUUAAGCGUAGCAGAAUCUUUCGCUUUGGAAGUCGGGGCCCCGUCUGCCGGAAGACCUACUCGCAAGGUUGACCUCGGAUCAGGCAGGGAUACCCGCUGAACUUAAGCAUAUCAAUACGGAGGA
Molecule: unclassified non-coding RNA, 327 nt
Filed under: soil metagenome
Description: partial contains 5.8S ribosomal RNA, internal transcribed spacer 2, and large subunit ribosomal RNA
Rfam family: 5.8S ribosomal RNA (bases 1-120)
Source: RNAcentral